This 253-nucleotide ribosomal RNA is filed under the name uncultured bacterium. Its description in RNAcentral is "partial 16S ribosomal RNA". It matches the Rfam family "Bacterial small subunit ribosomal RNA", at positions 524 to 776 of the family's 1533-position model. The record is from RNAcentral.
UACGUAGGGUGCAAGCGUUGUCCGGAAUUAUUGGGCGUAAAGAGCUCGUAGGCGGUCUGUCGCGUCGGCUGUGAAAACCCGGAGCUCAACUCCGGGCCUGCAGUCGAUACGGGCAGACUGGAGUUCGGCAGGGGAGACUGGAAUUCCUGGUGUAGCGGUGAAAUGCGCAGAUAUCAGGAGGAACACCGGUGGCGAAGGCGGGUCUCUGGGCCGAUAUUGACGCUGAGGAGCGAAAGCGUGGGGAGCAAACGGG